Molecule: ribosomal RNA, 481 nt
Filed under: Enterococcus sp. oral taxon A43
Lineage: Bacteria; Bacillati; Bacillota; Bacilli; Lactobacillales; Enterococcaceae
Description: bacterial SSU rRNA
Rfam family: Bacterial small subunit ribosomal RNA
Source: RNAcentral
GACGAACGCUGGCGGCGUGCCUAAUACAUGCAAGUCGAACGCUUCUUUUUCACCGAACUUCGGUUCAUCGAAAAAGAGGAGUGGCGAACGGGUGAGUAACACGUGGGUAACCUGCCCAUCAGAAGGGGAUAACACUUGGAAACAGGUGCUAAUACCGUAUAAUGCUUUUUCUCGCAUGAGAGCAAGCUGAAAGGCGCUUUUGCGUCACUGAUGGAUGGACCCGCGGUGCAUUAGCUAGUUGGUGAGGUAACGGCUCACCAAGGCCACGAUGCAUAGCCGACCUGAGAGGGUGAUCGGCCACACUGGGACUGAGACACGGCCCAGACUCCUACGGGAGGCAGCAGUAGGGAAUCUUCGGCAAUGGACGAAAGUCUGACCGAGCAACGCCGCGUGAGUGAAGAAGGUUUUCGGAUCGUAAAACUCUGUUGUUAGAGAAGAGCAAGGAUGAGAGUAAAAUGUUCAUCCCUUGACGGUAUCUAAC